Molecule: ribosomal RNA, 554 nt
Filed under: uncultured Bacillus sp.
Lineage: Bacteria; Bacillati; Bacillota; Bacilli; Caryophanales; Bacillaceae
Description: bacterial SSU rRNA
Rfam family: Bacterial small subunit ribosomal RNA
Source: RNAcentral
UAGGGAAUCUUCCGCAAUGGACGAAAGUCUGACGGAGCAACGCCGCGUGAGUGAUGAAGGUUUUCGGAUCGUAAAGCUCUGUUGUUAGGGAAGAACAAGUGCGAGAGUAACUGCUCGCACCUUGACGGUACCUAACCAGAAAGCCACGGCUAACUACGUGCCAGCAGCCGCGGUAAUACGUAGGUGGCAAGCGUUGUCCGGAAUUAUUGGGCGUAAAGGGCUCGCAGGCGGUUUCUUAAGUCUGAUGUGAAAGCCCCCGGCUCAACCGGGGAGGGUCAUUGGAAACUGGGAAACUUGAGUGCAGAAGAGGAGAGUGGAAUUCCACGUGUAGCGGUGAAAUGCGUAGAGAUGUGGAGGAACACCAGUGGCGAAGGCGACUCUCUGGUCUGUAACUGACGCUGAGGAGCGAAAGCGUGGGGAGCGAACAGGAUUAGAUACCCUGGUAGUCCACGCCGUAAACGAUGAGUGCUAAGUGUUAGGGGGUUUCCGCCCCUUAGUGCUGCAGCUAACGCAUUAAGCACUCCGCCUGGGGAGUACGGUCGCAAGACUGAAAC